GGCGUAAAGCGCACGCAGGCGGUCAAUUAAGUCAGAUGUGAAAGCCCCGAGCUUAACUUGGGAAUUGCAUCUGAAACUGGUUGGCUAGAGUCUUGUAGAGGGGGGUAGAAUUCCAUGUGUAGCGGUGAAAUGCGUAGAGAUGUGGAGGAAUACCGGUGGCGAAGGCGGCCCCCUGGACAAAGACUGACGCUCAGGUGCGAAAGCGUGGGGAGCAAACAGGAUUAGAUACCCUGGUAGUCCACGCUGUAAACGAUGUCGAUUUAGAGGUUGUGGUCUUGAACCGUGGCUUCUGGAGCUAACGCGUUAAAUCGACCGCCUGGGGAGUACGGCCGCAAGGUUAAAACUCAAAUGAAUUGACGGGGGCCCGCACAAGCGGUGGAGCAUGUGGUUUAAUUCGAUGCAACGCGAAGAACCUUACCUACUCUUGACAUCCAGCGAAUCCUUUAGAGAUAGAGGAGUGCCUUCGGGAACGCUGAGACAGGUGCUGCAUGGCUGUCGUCAGCUCGUGUUGUGAAAUGUUGGGUUAAGUCCCGCAACGAGCGCAACCCU
RNAcentral lists this ribosomal RNA (549 nucleotides) under Proteus mirabilis. RNAcentral describes it as "bacterial SSU rRNA". It matches the Rfam family "Bacterial small subunit ribosomal RNA", at positions 557 to 1105 of the family's 1533-position model. Lineage: Bacteria; Pseudomonadati; Pseudomonadota; Gammaproteobacteria; Enterobacterales; Morganellaceae. The record is from RNAcentral.